RNAcentral lists this ribosomal RNA (425 nucleotides) under uncultured bacterium. Its description in RNAcentral is "partial 16S ribosomal RNA". It matches the Rfam family "Bacterial small subunit ribosomal RNA", at positions 354 to 796 of the family's 1533-position model. The record is from RNAcentral.
GUGGGGAAUCUUGCGCAAUGGGCGAAAGCCUGACGCAGCCAUGCCGCGUGAAUGAUGAAGGUCUUAGGAUUGUAAAAUUCUUUCACCGGGGACGAUAAUGACGGUACCCGGAGAAGAAGCUCCGGCUAACUUCGUGCCAGCAGCCGCGGUAAUACGAAGGGGGCUAGCGUUGCUCGGAAUUACUGGGCGUAAAGGGCGCGUAGGCGGACAGCUUAGUCAGAGGUGAAAGCCCAGGGCUCAACCUUGGAAUUGCCUUUGAUACUGGCUGUCUUGAGUUUGGGAGAGGUGAGUGGAACUCCGGGUGUAGAGGUGAAAUUCGUAGAUAUUCGGAAGAACACCAGUGGCGAAGGCGACUCACUGGCCCAAUACUGACGCUGAGGCGCGAAAGCGUGGGGAGCAAACAGGAAUAGAAACCCUGGUAGUCC